ACACCCUUACCAAAGGUGCGAAAGGACUUAAAUGAUGCCUAGGUGCUUCAGACUAACAACCCGACUACACCUUACACGACCAACCAUACCUAAAACACCUUAUGCAACCUAUGGGAACCUUCAACGUCUACGAUUAAGAAAAAGAUACGACUUUGACCACCCACAGUCUGGUAUAGAAUCAAUUAACAAUAUCAGAUUAGGAGGUGUCAUGUAUCUUUAAGAUACGACUUUGAUCU
Molecule: long non-coding RNA, 236 nt
Filed under: Setaria italica (foxtail millet)
Lineage: Eukaryota; Viridiplantae; Streptophyta; Magnoliopsida; Poales; Poaceae
Description: long non-coding RNA (SITA_LNC004744)
Source: RNAcentral